ACGAACGCUGGCGGCGUGCUUAACACAUGCAAGUCGAACGGUAAGGCCCCAGCUUGCUGGGGUACACGAGUGGCGAACGGGUGAGUAACACGUGGGUGACCUGCCCCGCACUUCGGGAUAAGCCUGGGAAACUGGGUCUAAUACCGGAUAGGACCGCACCGUGAGGGUGUGGUGGAAAGUUUUUCGGUGUGGGAUGGGCCCGCGGCCUAUCAGCUUGUUGGUGGGGUAAUGGCCUACCAAGGCGGCGACGGGUAGCCGGCCUGGGAGGGUGGACCGCCACAUUGGGACUGAGACACGGCCCAGACUCCUACGGGAGGCAGCAGUGGGGAAUAUUGCACAAUGGGCGGAAGCCUGAUGCAGCGACGCCGCGUGGGGGAUGACGGCCUUCGGGUUGUAAACUCCUUUCACCAUCGACGAAGGUUUUCUGACGGUAGAUGGAGAAGAAGCACCGGCUAACUACGUG
Molecule: ribosomal RNA, 463 nt
Filed under: uncultured bacterium
Lineage: Bacteria
Description: partial 16S ribosomal RNA
Rfam family: Bacterial small subunit ribosomal RNA
Source: RNAcentral